Bacillus licheniformis is the source of this 42-nucleotide non-coding RNA. Lineage: Bacteria; Bacillati; Bacillota; Bacilli; Caryophanales; Bacillaceae. The record is from Rfam.
ACGAUGUUCCGCUGUGCCGGUUAACUCGCGCAAGAGCAUCUG